UUUAUACUGGGAUUAGAUACCCCACUAUGCCUAGCCGUAAAAAAUUAAUUCACACCAAUCACCGCCAGGAUAUUACGAGCGUACGCUUAAAACCCAAAGGACUUGACGGUGUCCCACCCACCUAGAGGAGCCUGUUCUAUAAUCGAUGAUCCUCGCUACACCCCACCACUUCUUGCCUAUCCGCCUGUAUACCGCCGUCGCAAGCCUACCAUGUGAAUGCCUCAAGUAGGUUCAAGGGCCCCACCAACACGUCAGGUCAAGGUGCAGCUUAUGAAGUGGGAAGAAAUGGGCUACAAUUUCUAAAUUAGAACAAACGAAAAACUAUGUGAAACCAUAGUAAUGAAGGUGGAUUUAGCAGUAAAAAGAAAAUAGCGGUCUACAGUCGAUCAG
Molecule: ribosomal RNA, 390 nt
Filed under: Nyctibatrachus major (Malabar night frog)
Lineage: Eukaryota; Metazoa; Chordata; Amphibia; Anura; Nyctibatrachidae
Description: partial 12S ribosomal RNA
Rfam family: Bacterial small subunit ribosomal RNA
Source: RNAcentral